AUUGAACGCUGGCGGCAGGCUUAACACAUGCAAGUCGAACGAGUGGCGGACGGGUGAGUAAUGUCUGGGAAACUGCCUGAUAGCGGGGGAUAACUACUGGAAACGGUAGCUAAUACCGCAUACCAUCAGAUGUGCCCAGAUGGGAUUAGCUAGUUGGUGGGGUAAAGGCUCACCAAGGCGACGAUCCGUAGCUGGUCUGAGAGGAUGACCAGCCACACGGGAACUGAGACACGGCCCAGACUCCUACGGGAGGCAGCAGUGGGGAAUAUUGCACAAUGGGCGAAAGCCUGAUGCAGCCAUCCCGCGUGUAUGAAGAAGGCCUUCGGGUUGUAAAGUACUUUCGGCGGAGAGGCGUUACCCGCAGAAGAAGCACCGGCUAACUCCGUGCCAGCAGCCGCGGUAAUAC
Molecule: ribosomal RNA, 406 nt
Filed under: uncultured bacterium
Lineage: Bacteria
Description: partial 16S ribosomal RNA
Rfam family: Bacterial small subunit ribosomal RNA
Source: RNAcentral